UCCCUCAUAGCUCGGUAAAGAAUCUGCCUGUAAUGCAGGAGACCCAGGUUCCAUUCCUGGGUCGGGAA
Molecule: transfer RNA, 68 nt
Filed under: Bos taurus (domestic cattle)
Lineage: Eukaryota; Metazoa; Chordata; Mammalia; Artiodactyla; Bovidae
Also listed under: 3 other names
Rfam family: tRNA
About the family: Transfer RNA (tRNA) molecules are approximately 80 nucleotides in length. Their secondary structure includes four short double-helical elements and three loops (D, anti-codon, and T loops). Further hydrogen bonds mediate the characteristic L-shaped molecular structure. tRNAs have two regions of fundamental functional importance: the anti-codon, which is responsible for specific mRNA codon recognition, and the 3' end, to which the tRNAs corresponding amino acid is attached (by aminoacyl-tRNA synthetases). tRNAs cope with the degeneracy of the genetic code in two manners: having more than one tRNA (with a specific anti-codon) for a particular amino acid; and 'wobble' base-pairing, i.e. permitting non-standard base-pairing at the 3rd anti-codon position.
Source: Rfam by way of RNAcentral